UACGUAGGGGGCAAGCGUUGUCCGGAUUUAUUGGGCGUAAAGAGCGUGUAGGCGGCUUUGCAAGUCCGUUGUGAAAACUCGAGCUCAACCUCGAGACGCCGGUGGAAACUGCAAAGCUAGAGUCCGGAAGAGGAGAGUGGAAUUCCUGGUGUAGCGGUGAAAUGCGCAGAUAUCAGGAAGAACAGCCCGUGGCGAAGGCGGCUCCUCUGGGACGGUACUGACGCUGAGAGCGAAAGCGUGGGGAGCGAACAGG
RNAcentral lists this ribosomal RNA (253 nucleotides) under uncultured bacterium. RNAcentral's name for it is "partial 16S ribosomal RNA". It matches the Rfam family "Bacterial small subunit ribosomal RNA", at positions 524 to 776 of the family's 1533-position model. The record is from RNAcentral.